GUUUGUUGUUUAAGUAAAUAAACUGGUCAGAGGCUCGGCUGGCUGUGCAGGCUCCGAUGCCUCCCACAAGCCUGGUCCCAACCGGGAAGGGGCCACCAACAGAAAGAAGCCACCCGAUGCCACCCACCACGACACGCCCUUCUCCCCGGCACUGCCAGGGGUGCCGGGGGGCCAGAGAGAUUCCUCUCUGCCCGGCCCGAUGCAGCCCGUCCAUCCCCGUGAAGAGCCCUGGGUUUGCACCUCGGUUUUGCCAUCUUCUUGCCUUUCCAGAGGAAGAGUCAAACAUCCAGAUUGCCUCAGUCAACCUGGUUCCCAGUGAAUGCUGGAAGCCGCCUGGACAGGGGUUCUUUCAAUGCUGUCCAUCUCGUGCUGGGUCUGACAUCUGACAUCCGCUGACCGCCUCCUAUGUGUCACACACUGUGCUGGGCAUGGGGGCUCCCAGGGACAACACAAAGAAUCAGUGUCUACGUUCAUGGCGCUUCCAUUUUAAAUUAAGGAACGAACACACAUAGUAAAAUAAUUUCAAUAAAAUAAAAUGUUACAAGUAUUAG
Macaca nemestrina (pig-tailed macaque) is the source of this 551-nucleotide long non-coding RNA. NCBI's taxonomy places the organism in Eukaryota, Metazoa, Chordata, Mammalia, Primates, Cercopithecidae. The record is from Ensembl.